GACGAACGCUGGCGGCGUGCUUAACACAUGCAAGUUGAACGGAAAGGCCCUGCUUUUGUGAGGUGCUCGAGUGGCGAACGGGUGAGUAACACGUGAGUAACCUGCCCUUGACUUUGGGAUAACUUCAGGAAACUGGGGCUAAUACCGGAUAGGAGCUCCUGCUGCAUGGUGGGGGUUGGAAAGUUUCGGCGGUUGGGGAUGGACUCGCGGCUUAUCAGCUUGUUGGUGGGGUAGUGGCUUACCAAGGCUUUGACGGGUAGCCGGCCUGAGAGGGUGACCGGCCACAUUGGGACUGAGAUACGGCCCAGACUCCUACGGGAGGCAGCAGUGGGGAAUAUUGCACAAUGGGCGGAAGCCUGAUGCAGCAACGCCGCGUGCGGGAUGACGGCCUUCGGGUUGUAAACCGCUUUCGCGUGUGACGAAGCGUGAGUGACGGUAAUGGGUAAAGAAGCACCGGCUAACUACGUG
Molecule: ribosomal RNA, 468 nt
Filed under: uncultured bacterium
Lineage: Bacteria
Description: partial 16S ribosomal RNA
Rfam family: Bacterial small subunit ribosomal RNA
Source: RNAcentral